CGCGGCCUAUCAGCUUGUUGGUGAGGUAAUGGCUCACCAAGGCGACGACGGGUAGCCGGCCUGAGAGGGCGACCGGCCACACUGGGACUGAGACACGGCCCAGACUCCUACGGGAGGCAGCAGUGGGGAAUAUUGCACAAUGGGCGAAAGCCUGAUGCAGCGACGCCGCGUGAGGGAUGACGGCCUUCGGGUUGUAAACCUCUUUCAGCAGGGAAGAAGCGAAAGUGACGGUACCUGCAGAAGAAGCGCCGGCUAACUACGUGCCAGCAGCCGCGGUAAUACGUAGGGCGCAAGCGUUGUCCGGAAUUAUUGGGCGUAAAGAGCUCGUAGGCGGCUUGUCACGUCGGGUGUGAAAGCCCGGGGCUUAACCCCGGGUCUGCAUUCGAUACGGGCAGGCUAGAGUGUGGUAGGGGAGAUCGGAAUUCCUGGUGUAGCGGUGAAAUGCGCAGAUAUCAGGAGGAACACCGGUGGCGAAGGCGGAUCUCUGGGCCAUUACUGACGCUGAGGAGCGAAAGCGUGGGGAGCGAACAGGAUUAGAUACCCUGGUAGUCCACGCCGUAAACGGUGGGAACUAGGUGUUGGCGACAUCCCACGUCGUCGGUGCCGCAGCUAACGCAUUAAGUUCCCCGCCUGGGGAGUACGG
RNAcentral lists this ribosomal RNA (643 nucleotides) under uncultured bacterium. Its description in RNAcentral is "bacterial SSU rRNA". It matches the Rfam family "Bacterial small subunit ribosomal RNA", at positions 232 to 885 of the family's 1533-position model. The record is from RNAcentral.